CAUUUGAUUUUUACCAAGGUUAAAUUAUCACUUGUGUGAAUUAAAAAGACACACAACAUAUUUAAAUAUCAAUCUAAGAGACACUUACAAUAAUUUAGAAUUUAAAAUGAUUUUUGUAACUCUAUAAGUAUUUAAAAUGCUCGGAAAUUAAAGUGAUAAAUUAAUUAUUUAUCUAUUAUAUGCAAAAGAGUAGAGAUAUGGGUGAAAUUCUCAAAUUCAUCAAUGCUUUGAUCAUCUUUCUUCCACUAAUUAUUCUUGUAAUCACUAACGGUAAUAAUUUCUUCAUACCUAUUUUAAAUUAUCUUCUUUAUCAUAUACAUAAUCAUUCAUCUCUUUAUAGUAUUAUUUAUUUAAUUUUAUUUGGCCUCAGAUAUCAUUCAUAAGUUAUGAUGUUAUCACUUAAAGAAUAUAUGUAAUGAAUAUCAGUGUAUUGUCCUAAGAUUAUUAUUCAUUUUAUUACAUGUUUAUACUGCUUAGGUUUUCUUUCCACGUAAGUUAUAUUCUUUAUCAUAUAAUUAAUAAUUCAUUUCUUUUUAAUUUUUUUUUUGACAUUACAGAACGUAACUACUGCUUUAAGAACGAAGAUUGUCAAGUCAAUACAUGUUACAUUACUUUAGUUUCGAAGUGUCGUUUUUUUAUGUGUCGUUGCACAGUAAAUUACUAAGAGUCUUAGAAAAAAUUAUGAUGUUGGGUGUUUGAAGAAUAAAUUUAAUAAAAUUUAAUUAUGUAAUGUAUCCUUAUAAAUAUAUUAUUUUUAUGUUUUGAUUUUUGUUAUUUUAUUUGCUUGAUUUUAAUUCUUGAAAAUAUUAUUCAUUUUGUUUUUGUCAUUAUUCUUUUGUUUUAGAUUUUAUAAAAUUAAGACUAAAUUAUAAUUUUGAUCC
This 881-nucleotide long non-coding RNA is filed under the name Lathyrus oleraceus (garden pea). Its description in RNAcentral is "Pisum sativum (pea) long non-coding RNA (PSAT_LNC042022)". Lineage: Eukaryota; Viridiplantae; Streptophyta; Magnoliopsida; Fabales; Fabaceae. The record is from RNAcentral.